RNAcentral lists this ribosomal RNA (642 nucleotides) under uncultured archaeon. RNAcentral describes it as "bacterial SSU rRNA". It matches the Rfam family "Archaeal small subunit ribosomal RNA", at positions 82 to 725 of the family's 1478-position model. The record is from RNAcentral.
CUGACGGCUCAGUAACACGCGGAUAAUCUGCCCUUGGGUGGAGGAUAAUCUCGGGAAACUGAGAAUAAUACUCCAUAAGUCUAGGAUGCUGGAAUGCACUUAGGCUGAAAGCUUCGGUGCCCAAGGAUGAGUCUGCGGACUAUCAGGUUGUAGUCAGGGUAACGACCUGACUAGCCUACGACGGGUACGGGUUGUGAGAGCAAGAGCCCGGAGAUGGAUUCUGAGACACGAAUCCAGGCCCUACGGGGUGCAGCAGGCGCGAAAACUUUACAAUGCUGGCAACAGCGAUAAGGGGACCUCGAGUGCCAGGAUACAAUCCUGGCUGUCGUAAUGCCUAAAAAGCAUUGCAUAGCAAGGGCCGGGCAAGACCGGUGCCAGCCGCCGCGGUAACACCGGCGGCUCGAGUGGUAACCGCUAUUAUUGGGUCUAAAGGGUCUGUAGCCGGCUGACUAAGUCUCUUGGGAAAUCUGGCAGCUCAACUGUCAGGCUUUCAGGGGAUACUGAUCGGCUCGAGACCGGGAGAGGUGAGAGGUACCUCAGGGGUAGGGGUGAAAUCUUGUAAUCCUUGAGGGACCACCAGUGGCGAAGGCGUCUCACCAGAACGGAUCUGACGGCAAGGGACGAAAGCUAGGGGCACGAACC